AACUGUUUUGACAAACUACACAUUGUAAAGAAAUAAGUAUAUUAUAUAACUGUGAAAUGAUAUUAUAUCGUCAUCCACUUUCAAGAUAUAAAAAUCAGAAAAAAACUACUUGAGACACAUUUCUCCUUGAUAAUUUGAUUGCAGUAUUAUGAAAGGCAGGACGAUAAUAUUCUGCUUGUCAACAUAUGCCUGCACAAAGCUCCAAACAGAUUACAUAAUUAUGUAAACAAUUUAGUUAAAAAAUAUAUUGUUGUUGACAUCUAUAUAUUUCUGGAGGUCAAUGUACAGUAAAUAGGCCAUGUCGCAAUUUAAAAAAAGAUGCAUACAACUUUGGCUGUUAGUGGAACUUUAACUGAAAAUUUCGGGGGAAAUAGAUUUAUCUUUUAUUUGCUACGUCACGUUAUAAGUUAAAAAAAAAAAAGUGGAUUUGUCGUUAACAACAAGGUAACAGAUUGUUAUUAAGAUACACCCAAGAACCAGUAACCCUUAAUUGGUUAUUUUACAUCAUUUAAACAGGAAUGUAUGUAACAACAAAUUAAGAAAUAGACCAAAACAUACGAACCUAACACUGACCAAUGAAAAGGACAAUGAGGUCAAGGACAAAUGAAUCCUGUCAGUCAGAUUUGAUAACAUUACAAUCAUUUUAUACAUUAAAUAUAGCUGACCUACUGCUUAUUGAGAAAUGGAACUAACUAUGGAAACUUGACAUUUACCAAUGGAAAAUGAUACUAGAUCAUGGUCAAAUGAUACCUGAAAAC
This 758-nucleotide long non-coding RNA is filed under the name Mytilus galloprovincialis (Mediterranean mussel). The record is from RNAcentral. Lineage: Eukaryota; Metazoa; Mollusca; Bivalvia; Mytilida; Mytilidae.